GCCGGGCACGGUGGGGGCACACGCCUGUCAUCCCAGCAGCUGGGGAGGCUGAGGCAGGAGGAUCGCAGGGUGGAGGCCAGCCUCAGCCACUUAGGGAGGCCCUCAGCCACUCAGCGAGACCCUGUCUCUA
This 130-nucleotide small RNA is filed under the name Marmota monax (woodchuck). The record is from RNAcentral. Lineage: Eukaryota; Metazoa; Chordata; Mammalia; Rodentia; Sciuridae.